RNAcentral lists this ribosomal RNA (755 nucleotides) under uncultured bacterium. RNAcentral describes it as "bacterial SSU rRNA". It matches the Rfam family "Bacterial small subunit ribosomal RNA", at positions 28 to 776 of the family's 1533-position model. The record is from RNAcentral.
AUUGAACGCUGGCGGCAGGCUUAACACAUGCAAGUCGAGCGGAAACGAUGGUAGCUUGCUACCAGGCGUCGAGCGGCGGACGGGUGAGUAAUACUUAGGAAUCUACCUAGUAGUGGGGGAUAGCACGGGGAAACUCGUAUUAAUACCGCAUACGACCUACGGGAGAAAGGGGGCAACUUGUUGCUCUCGCUAUUAGAUGAGCCUAAGUCGGAUUAGCUAGAUGGUGGGGUAAAGGCCUACCAUGGCGACGAUCUGUAGCUGGUCUGAGAGGAUGAUCAGCCACACCGGGACUGAGACACGGCCCGGACUCCUACGGGAGGCAGCAGUGGGGAAUAUUGGACAAUGGGGGCAACCCUGAUCCAGCCAUGCCGCGUGUGUGAAGAAGGCCUUUUGGUUGUAAAGCACUUUAAGCAGUGAAGAAGACUCCGUGGUUAAUACCCACGGACGAUGACAUUAGCUGCAGAAUAAGCACCGGCUAACUCUGUGCCAGCAGCCGCGGUAAUACAGAGGGUGCAAGCGUUAAUCGGAAUUACUGGGCGUAAAGCGAGCGUAGGUGGCUUGAUAAGUCAGAUGUGAAAUCCCCGGGCUUAACCUGGGAACUGCAUCUGAUACUGUUAGGCUAGAAUAGGUGAGAGGAAGGUAGAAUUCCAGGUGUAGCGGUGAAAUGCGUAGAGAUCUGGAGGAAUACCGAUGGCGAAGGCAGCCUUCUGGCAUCAUAUUGACACUGAGGUUCGAAAGCGUGGGUAGCAAACAGG